Molecule: long non-coding RNA, 1170 nt
Filed under: Bemisia tabaci
Lineage: Eukaryota; Metazoa; Arthropoda; Insecta; Hemiptera; Aleyrodidae
Description: lncRNA ENSSSA3NGG005683
Source: RNAcentral
GUUGAUUAGUCAGUCAUGCCGAUGGCAUCGGCAGGAUCUAUUUCGAAGUGCCCGGGGACGGGGGCCCCCCUCGGGAGGGGGACCGGCCGGGCACGGCAUGGGCAGCCGAUGAGGCAUCACCUCCGUGCCUGCCUCAGUCGCGUGCUGGCCCUCGUCCUCACAGCACCCUACACCACGCAGCAUCCGCCCCUCUCGGACCGCGCCAUAAAUUUGCGUCGUUAUCGCGUGAGAGAAACCCUCGUGCGUGUCUGUGUUUUCGCGCCGGACUACCGUCGAUUUUUGUGCGCGAGACGUUUCAGUGAUAGUGUCAGUGAGGAAUUUCCUAUCCUUCCUCGUGCCAAAUUUGAACAUCAUAUAUUAAAAAACGCAGAUACAUUUCACUUGAAUUUGGAACGAACGUGACCUCUCAACAUUAAACUAACAUAAAAGUGUAUUUGUGUUUGAUAAAUUAUAAAUGUGCUCUAAUAGUUUCGACGCCUCUCUGUUUCUGUGUUAAUUCCAACCUUUUUUUGGAUUUACGUUUUAUCAGCUAAGAGCAUGUAUCGUCCAGAACUUGUGCGUGCACUUCGCGUGUGGGAAAAAUGAUUGUUACCAAAGCCUAAAUCUGUGUAGAACUUAUUUUUCCUAAUAUGGCGCUCGUUACGAGGUAGAAUUUGCGACAUAUUUCCGCAACGAUCAGACGUAAAUUCGCAAUUUCGGACUUUUUCAGUCGUGCGAGAAUUUGUAGAUUCCGAUGAAAAAUUUCAGUGUGCCAUUUUAAAAAUCCGAUCUUUGUACCAUUCAAUUUUACUUUUUUCAAGUUCGUAUCAGUUUUGUGGAUUAAAGGGAAAAUCCCUGAAUUAGCACUUAGUGAUAAAUUAACGAUCUACUUCAAAUGCCAUAUUUCUGUUGUGAUUUGCGAAAAACCGAAAGUUAUGCCUUAACUGAAGUUUGUUGACCAAUUUGAAUUAUGUAAUGAAGAUUCUAAUCAGCCUGUUCUUGGCUCUUUUGUUGAAGGGUGCUCUUAAAGAGGUCAGACUAUUCAGCUCUGCUGACGUCACUGAAGAAUUAUGUCCUAAAUAUUUCAGUAAGACAAUUUUUUCUUACUUUUAUAUUUCUUACUUUUUAUUCAUGGAUUUAUUGAUUGUUAAUUAUUAGCAGUUGUAGUGCAUGAAUUAUAAAAGGAUUUUU